This 84-nucleotide transfer RNA is filed under the name Coemansia erecta. Its description in RNAcentral is "tRNA-Ser". It matches the Rfam family "tRNA". Rfam says of the family: Transfer RNA (tRNA) molecules are approximately 80 nucleotides in length. The record is from RNAcentral. RNAcentral also lists the same sequence under 1 other name. Lineage: Eukaryota; Fungi; Kickxellomycota; Kickxellomycetes; Kickxellales; Kickxellaceae.
GGAAAAAUCGCCUAAUGGUAUGGCAAUAGUUUGCUAAACUGUGCAUCUAACAGAUGCUUGGGGGUUCGAAUCCCCUUUUUUCCG